Non-coding RNA from Ictidomys tridecemlineatus (thirteen-lined ground squirrel), 17177 nucleotides. Lineage: Eukaryota; Metazoa; Chordata; Mammalia; Rodentia; Sciuridae. The record is from RefSeq and is a predicted model, not a curated record.
UCUGCAGCCCUUUUUAAAAAUGAACAUUCCUCAGCAACCUAGAAGCGCCAAACAAGACAAACAACCUCGAAAUCCUGGGUUCGCGGUAACAUCUGCACUUCUAAAUGGAUUUAUUGCUCUGUGUGGCCAGCGGGAGGGAUGAUGAAUGAGGACCGCAGCCUCCAACUUUGCACCUCUUUAAAAGCAAUUCCAGAACCUGCACAAAAAUGACUGCAGUCCUCUUGACCUCUGGGUUACAAUGCAGAUAUCUUAAGAUCUGGCAGCACUACCUUAUUCUUCAGGGAUUUCUACCAUGAGGAAGUUUUCUCAGAACAGGCAAAAUGGCUCCUAUCAGCUGGCAGAAGGUAACCCAGUUUUAUUGCUGCCGCAGGUCAUAGUACAUACCCAGGAACUCUGCUACAAGACAAUGCGCCUGCCAAAGGGAAGCCUCCAACUCCCCAAGAACUGAGAGUAAACCUCUAACUUUAGAAUAAUCUUAGAGCUACACAUGCCAACACUGGAACCAAGUGACCCUGAGUCAUUCAUUUUCAUUGCAACAUACUCUUCCAGUAUACAAAUAUAUUACCACACCUAGUGGUAAUAUAUUUGUAUACUGGAAUUUGUUAUUACCAUCAAAGCUACCAUUGACAUUUUUGUAUCUUUCUAUAUGCACAUCUCCAAAUAUUUCUUUAGGUUUUAUACCUAAGUAUAAUAUCAUCUUCAACUUCAGGAGACAAUACCACCUUAUACGUCAUGUUAUUUUUCCCAUCUUAUAUACCAAAAGGGGAAAUGGUAGAAAGUGGAGGGGCUGAAACCACUGGCAGCCCAGUUUUCAAUGCACUGGAGCAUAUGAGGAAUAACAGCCAGUGUGUCUGCUUCAUCUAUUGGGGGGUUCUCCAAAAAUAUAAUCCCCAUGCUCUGCCUCCACCCCAAGAGCUUUUACUUUAAUUGAUCCAUAGUAAAGUUUAGCCAUCGGUAUUUUUUAAAGGCUCCCCAGCCGAUUCUAACAUCAGAUGAGUUCAAGAACCAUUGGUAGCCAAUGCCAAAUUUCAAGAAUACUACUUAAAUUCUCACUAGUUAUUUCUGGGUAUGGUCGGCAAAACAUUUGGCCCAAGAAUCAACCACCCAGGAAAUCUGCAUUUUUUUUUUUUUAAUAAUGGCACAUAGUGCUUUUUGUAUACAUAAAGUUUCCAAUGCUGGAAAUUGGGGUGGCCAAGACUCCUGGUUUGCUGAGGCUUAGAGGGGACUCUGGGGUGUGGGAUUUCAGUGCCCAAACUAGGAAAUUCCCAGGAAAACUAAGUGGAACUGGUUACCCUGCUGACUACUCAGAUGAGGCCAUGGUAUUCAUAAACAAACCCUAAGAAGCAAGCUCCUUGGCGGGGAGUGGAGCACAUGGGGAAUAACAGCCAGUAUGUCCGCUUCAUCUACUGGUGCUACACCCUUCUCACUUGAGUUCUCUGAAGCUUAGAUUUGUCCCCUGAGGGGCAGGGAGUUCUUUGUCAUCACCAGCAAGUCACUGAGCUCCUGGGGCCUAUGAAAGGGCCGUCAUAUUCACCCUUGAAGAGCCACUGGGAGAUGUCCAAGAUGGGCUGGAGAGGGAAGGAAUAGGGAGAUAUUGUGGAAUGUGAUCUCCUUGAAUGUCUAGUUCACAGACAGGAAGCGCCUGCUUCCUCAGCUCUCCUCCCAGGCGGGCCAUGUUUGGGAUGUGCUUUAUUGGUGGUGAAGCCAUUUCCCGCAGCAAUUCAGGACAUUUCAGAAGCAGACAAGCUUGCCAAAUCCUGAGACCAGUUAGUGCCACAGUCAUUGAAACUGCCACUCUGACACCUGUGCCCAGGUAUUAACAGGAAUACCUCCGAACACCCUGUAGAGUUGUUUUGAAGGUCGGCAAAUAGCAUUCCUCAUAGAAUCACUAAGAUCUUGGCCAGAGGACCCAGGAGUCACUGGCUGACUUAGCAUUUUACAGGGCAGGAAACUGAGGCCCGGGGCAGAGAGAGAACUUGCCCACAACAGAGCUGCUUCCAAGGCUGUGUCCUUCCCUCUUCUAAAGGAGGCCCCAGUGGUGUCAGGUGGCUUUCGUGUCCUGUGGUCUCUGGUCCACUCACUUAGAGCCAGUAGAAGUCAAGCCAUCAUCAUCUUUUUUAAAACUCAAGAAUAUGAUAAAAUAGUCAUUCGUAGUCUGUGUUCACAGAGCUUGGUGCAGACAGGAGAUCAGGACAAGUGCUAGACACCUUCACUGACUGAUGGCGCUCAGUGCAGGGUAUGGAAGGCACCACCAGGGACAAGUGCAACCUGAGACCGUUGGAGUGGGAAGUAGCACCCACAAGAGAUGCUCACACAGAGCCUGGCACAGAGGAAGGGAAUGGUCUUAGAAUAAAAAGGGAGAAGUUCUUUUAGAAUUGUGAAUAAGUGAUUGACAAAGUUAAAAUGCUUAUCUUUUAGCUUAUGACCUUCACCUUCCUUUAUCACAACCAGUGAACCACCUACCAUUUUGGAAGUGCCCUGCAUGUGGUAAGGACAGAGCGAGGGACUCUUAUUACCCCCAUGUUACAGGUCAGGAAACGGCGAGAGAGAGAGAAUGAGCUUUUCCAAGGUGACAUGACUGGCUAAUUUUCAAUCCUGGCUCUUCUGAUUCCCAAGGGUGAUCUUCACCACCGGCCAGUUGGCUUUCUUUGAAGGACACUGGCUGCCUUGGCUGACCUUAGGCCUGUUCUGCUUUUACACUGGCAAAACAUUUAUGGUAACCCUGAGGCGACAGCUCUCUCUCCCACCACUGCCAGAAAGCCUAGCCCAGUAUCUGCUAAGAAUGAUGUGCAUCAUUGUGUGCAAAAAUCAAAGGUCUCUCUAUAUUUUCAAGCAUGACUUAUAUUGUUGUCCAUGAAACAGCCACCACUUGGAUGUAUUUUCCUGAAGGCUUUCUCUCCAUUCCUUGUCAGCGAUUUGAAGCUGUUUCUCUCCACUUCCUCACCCCACAGAAAGAAAUGAUUUGUAUUCAAUAACUGAGUUGAAAAUAUCACAGAAGUUAUAUUGGAGAUUGCUAAGGUCCUAUUAACAGAACACCGGAGACUGAGUAAUUUAUAAAGGAAAAAGGUUUUUUUUGAGCUCACAGUCCUGAAGGCUGGAAGUCCAAGAGCAUGGCACUAGUGUCUGCUCAGCAAGGGUGGCAGAGAGAACAUGAGGGGUGCACUUGCUUGAUAACAACCAGCUCUUGUGGGGACAAAUCCAGGCCUCAGAGAACUCAAGCGAGAAGGGUGUACCUCCAUCUCUCCCUAGCUCCUCUCCAUGGCCCCAGCACCUCCCAACACUGCCUCACUGAGGAAUUAAGUGUUCCAGCCCAUGAACUUCUAGGGGACAAACACCAACUGCAGCAGGCCCUGCUUUAGCUGCACCAAGGAAGGAACAGGCUAUACCCUGGAUCUUCCAUACCCACAUCUCUGCCCUCUCCCCCCAGCAAGGUGCCAAGGCAAGGAGCCCCUGUGCCCCUGGUCUGUGCACAAGGUCUCACUUCUCCUGGGGUAGUUUCCUACUGUUCAACUUGCUGCCUUUCCUACAUUUUGAGGGGAGAAUUCAUGUUUUAUUCAUUUUGGUCUUCCUAGCACCUGAGAGCACCUGGUACAUGGUAGGUGCUCAAUAAGUACUCAAUGAAUGAACCAAGGGACACAUGAACUGAGGAGCCGCUGGCCUGCUUGGGGAUGGUGUCUUCUCUAGCACGGUGGUGCUCUCUUAGGGAUUUAGCCAGACUGAGUCAGGCAGCACUGAGCUAAUGUUUUCAAUAAUGAAAUGACUUCCAGCAUUUCCAUUUAAAAAAAAAAAGGUUUCAUAAAAUUCAUUUUUAACCCUUUGGCAGAAUCAUUUCAGUAACAAUGAUAACUCGUUUCAUUUUAAGGGAUAACUAUCUCGGCUCCAGAAGCUCAGAAACAAAUUAGAAUAAGAGCAAGAGGAAAGCCACUCAGAUGAUCAAAGGAAUGGAGCUGUACCCGGGAGGAUGGCUUAGUGGCGGAGUGACUGGGAAGGGACACAGAAAUCUAAAGAGGCUGGGAAAAGGCAGUCGAAGGUUUUCCUGGCCCUUUGAAUGCUUUGCACAGGGUCAUUUAAAAAGAAAAAUCUCAAAACAUGAGAGAACACUUUAAGACUUCCACAUCAGCACUUCAGAUUAUUUUGUUUGCUUUCCAUUUUAAAAAUUAAUCCAUAUACUUGUUGCUUAGAUAUUUUGUUAAUUAUCAUUUCUUUGCUUGAGUUCUGUGCAAUAUUCAUACAGGACAGUGACAAAACUCAUGAGUGAAUACUUCAUUUAGAAGCAUUAACAUUAAUGCUCAGUAAAUUCUCUGGGGGCGGGGGUGGGUGGGGAGCAGGGAUCUAGGGCAAGAAGGGCUCAGGGUCACCGCAGUGCACCCACUGGCUGGCGGGGGCUUCCCAGGGAGGCAUGGACACAGAUCCUGGCUCAGAUUAGCCACAGCUAAGUCAGCAUCCCUGUCCUUUUAAAAAGGGACACUAGUGAUCCUCUUUCAGAGAGGGCCAAGUCAGGUCAAAAAUUUCUAGAAAGAUCCAGGCAGAGAACAAAAGAGCCCCCACAAAACCUGACCCUGUAGUUCAUGAGGAAAUCCUUUGAACUCAUUAACAAGACGUUACAACUGGAGACAAGGGCCACAGAACAUUGAGAAAUUUCGGUUCUGUGUCUCACAGCGAGAGCAAGUUUGUAUUCUAAAAAAUUAUGAGACGCACAGUAUCAAACACUCUUAACCAUUGUCUCCAUGACUGUAUAUUCUUUGACCCAAGAAGUAAAAUAAAUAAAAACAAUGACUUAACAUGUAGUGCUUACUAUGUGUUAGGCACUGUUCUAAAUACCUUACUAUACCAUCUCACUUAACAGUCGCACACAGUCACAAGCAUUGUCAAUAUCAUACAGUUGGAAAAUGUGAGGCACAGAGUGGUUAAAUAAAUUGUCAAGGUGCACAGCUGGUCAGUCAAAAUGUGUUCUUCCGCCACUUUUGGAAAGAAGCAAAAAAGUACUCUGCUUUUUCAAACUUUCAACCUCCCAGGGCGGAAAGGUCUCUUGAAUAGUAAAAUUAAUUUCUCCAGAAAAAAAUUAAAAAUUGUUGGGAGAGUUUACGAACACAAAACAAUUUAAACAUUUUUUUUUCCUUCCAUAUCUUGUUUGAUUUUUGUCCUCCCACCAAACCAGCCCAGUGCCUCAGAUUUCGGGGCACAGCCCUUGCUUUCCUUUAAUGUCCAAAGGGACACACAGAUCAGAAUUUGCUACCUUCACUUCUGUUUAAGGGGAAGUUUUAUCCUAUCAAAAUAGGGGCUUUAUGUUUCUAUUCAACCUGGUGACUUAGGUGAUGAGAUUCUACAAACAGAAAAUCAGACAAACGAAGAUGGUCUCUGACCUUGACGUGGAAAAAGAAUUGAAAAUUUUUAUUUGUUUGAUAAUAUCUAUUGUCAUAAUACCCUAAUUUCAGAAACAGUACAAUGCUGUUUUUCUUUAAGUGUUAAAAAAAAUCCAUACCAGCUAGCAAAAAAAAAUGGCAAAAUCAAGAUGCAUGCCCCACCAAACAGGUGGCAAGUCAGGGGGCCCCUGGUAUGAAAUGCCAGCCUUGUUCUGUUGUCUGGAUGGCUCUGGAAGGUCAUGUUCAUUGUCACUGAAAAUGCCUGCAGGCAGCGAUAUGAAAAGUCAUUGUCUACUCUUUUUUUUCCCCUGCUACUAUUUUUAGCUCUUGUUAGGGAGAUCAAUUUUAGUUAACUACAGAGGAAGGUUUAAAAUGGCGCUCGAGUUUCAAGUUGCCUACGUCUGCUAUAUUUAGAUUUUUUUCCCCCUAAAUUCUGCUCUAUUGAGACAUGCCAUAGUAAAGCAAUUUUGGUGUUUCUGCUUGGUACACAUUGUUUCCCGAAAUGGAAAAUAUACUUCCUUAAUUAACGUAACUUACAAGGAAGAAACCUUUGCUAUUCUAGGCUCUGACUCAGAUGUAGAGAAAACUCAGUUUUUAAAAUAUAGAUGAGCACCUAUAUUUGGGGCACGUGUAGGAUGAAAUAUUAUAUAAGGACUCCGUGCGUUCAACAAUUUUGCUAUAUUCUGAUCACCAGACAUGAAAGGCACAGAAAGAGUUAGCACCCACCUUGGCAAUUAGUACCCCCUCCCCACAUCAUUCUCCACACAAGGACUCAGGCUUGUGAUCCUGGAACACAUUUCCAAGUUUCCAUUUCCUUUCCAAGAAUUUUCUCUGGGAGAAUUUUUUUUUAAUAGAAAAUUUUAAAGGGGCUUUUCUUCUGCUCACAUAAUUCUAUAAUUUUUUAUCUUUAAUCACUACCAACUAGCAACAUGAAGCUCUGCCUUUACUUAUUUCACAGGGGAAAAUGUACAGAUGGUAGAUAAUCUGAAAAGAUACAUAGGCCAAAAAGAUGAAUAAUAAAUUUUACCACCCCCAAAUAAGUACUUUAAAAUAGGAUUCUUUGGGUUUUUCUCCUUCACUCUAGGUGUAUGUGUGUUCUUAGAGCUACUGCCUUAGCCACACCUCUGAUCCUAAGAAGGAAAAAUAAAGCCACUCAUGGCGGUGCACGCCUAUAAUCCCAGUGGCUUGGGAGGCUGAGGCAGGAGGAUCAGGAGUUCAAAGCCAGCUUGAACAACUCAGUGAGGCCCUAAGCAAUUCAGCAAGACCCCAUCUCUAAAUAAAAUACUAAAAAGGGCUGGGGAUGUGACUCAGUGGUUAAGUGUCCCCGAGUUCAAUCCCUAGUACCAAGACAAAAAAUAGGGUCCAUCUCUAGAGGGGAAAACUUCCAGUCUCCAGGGAGUGCCCAAGCAGCUCCUGUGGUCUCUGCUCUGCUGCUCUCUUCUUGCCUGGGUGGAAAAGCCCCUUCCUCCAAGAUUCAGAGAGGUUCUUUGCUCAGCUCUCUCUCUCUGGCCCAUUACCUUCCUUGAAAGUUUCUAGUUUUCAUCUCAGUUACUAAUUCAGAUCCUCAAUCACAGCGCCCCAUGAAGAACUUUGGGUUCUACAUGUCUCAGGAGGGAAUAAAGAUAAGUGGUCACCCUAAACCUGUAUGAAGAAGAAAUCUCCAGAAGCAAAUUUCCUUUUAUGAAAUAGACCCCCUCCCCGACUUAUGACAGAAGUAAAGUGUUCACUCUCUCCCUCCAUCUUUUAACAUCUAGCUAAAUCCUUCUCAUCUCCUACUUUGAUACAGGUCAGGACUGGUGAGGAGCAAGGAAGGAGAAUCCCCAUCAUACAUGUUGAUAAUAUUUUUUUUCCUGCAGUGAACCCAUAUGAUCCUUACUGAGGGGGGAAGCCAUGCCAUGCCGUAUCAUGGCCACCUCACACCUGACCCCAGGAGGCAACACAUUAGCUACACUGUGGCAUCUAGGAGACCCAAUUGGAGCCUGCUGCCCAUCUCCAAGGCUUACCACAAUGAAACAGGAAAUAUGCACUCACAGAAAUACAAAGAAUCAGAGAGCCCAAGUUUACAGAAGACCAAACUCUGGAAUAUUUGUUUUAAUCCUGAAUCCUUUUCACUCCAAGAAAAGAAAUGCUUUCUCCAUAAUAAUCUUGUAAAUAGACAGCUAACAAAUACCUGUGAUUUUUAGUUUCCAAUAAGCCCCUUUGCUCUUGAACAUCACCUCUUCUAUUUCAUAGCUAUGGAUGAUGACCCAGCAUGAAGAGAGGAUUUUUCUCUUUAGGAUGAUGAUUAAAACUCAGGAUGUGUAUUUGAUUCUAGGCUCCAUCUUUUAUGGGUUGUGUGAACUUCAAGUUUUUUAGCCUCUCUGUCCUCAGUUUUCCAAACAGAAAAUCAGGGUGUGUAUCAAAAGAGACAAGCCAUAUAAAUAUGUAUGUCCAGCCCUGAGUAUAGUAAAUGUUCAAUCUGUGUCACCAUUUAUUAUCAGUUGAUUGUCAAACCACAUCUUAGGCUCUGAGCUCAGUGUAUGGCAAUAUGAAUGCCGUGAUGUUUGGAGCUGAUUGUCCUAUGCAAGGCAGUACAUUUAGCAUUCUGGGUCUCACCUGCUAAGUGCCAGUUUUCACCCUGACCCAGUCAUUAAAUCAUGGUGAUGGCAACAAUAUCCACUGAUAGACCAGCACUUGUUUAAAAAGGACGCUAUAAUCACACCAGUUGAAAAGUGACUAAGAGGUGUUGAGACAAGAGGCAAGGAGAGUCCAGUAAAGUGGAGGCACCAGUAUGUGCACAGAAAGAGGGGAGAGGGCAGGAUAAACAGGAGUAGCACCUGCUCACAACUUUGUACUUGAUCCCCAUAUGUGCGUGCACAUGCAUCUACACACACACACAUUUUUCCUUCCCCUAGGAAAACUAGAAGAAAGCAAGAUUGCCAAGAGGUGGCUUUAAAAUACCAUUAAAAUAUUUGGUCUUUGUCCUUCAUUCCUAACACAAAGCUCCUAAAAUUCAUGAUUUCCUGAGAGAUAGGAGUAUCUUUUAUUCUAAUAAUGUGACUCUUGGCAGGAUGGGGGCUGGUCACUAGAAAGACAGCCCCUUGAAUCCAAACCUAGUACUUUCAGCCCCAUUUCCCUACCCCUGGGGAAUAGAGGACAGGAGAAAAGCUAGAGGUCAAGUUAAUCAAUAGCUGAUGAUACCUGAAUGUGGUGUUCUGAGAGCUUCUGGGUUCAUGAAUGCAUCCGCAUGCCAAGAAGGAGGCACACCCAGCUCCCCAGGAUAGAAGUGCUCCUUCCAGACUACCCUAUGUACCUCUUCAUCUGGCUCUUCACUUUUGUAUCCUUUAUAAAACCCUUUAUAAUAAACUGGUAAUCAUUUUUAAAAAUACACCUUUAAAUAGCAUAUCUGGGGGUUGCAGGGGUGCGGCUUGGAAAACAUCCUAUUUUUUUUGGUUUAACUCUGUCCUUCUGUUGAAGAACACAUUGCCCAGCAGGAGUGAGUGAGGUUGGAAGUGACGGUUCAAAUGCUGGUGGGUGCCCCAGAUAGAGAGAGGCAGGGUGCACCCCCCAAGUCUUGUCUCACUUCCUGGGGGGGAUCCCUACCCAGCACCUGACAGUACGGGACCCCUCCACCUGCCCAGUUGACAGGGAGCAGCAAACCAGGACUUGCAGCCUCGUGGGGCUUCCUUUCCUGCUGAAUUCAAGUCAUAAGCUUAACUCUUGAAAGAAAACCUACAUAUGAACACCUUUCAAGCACAUCUAAACCAUCCUGCACUCCUCACGGAACUCAGCUUUCACCAACAUUGGGCAUGCGCAGAAAAGCCAGCAUGCACAAGUCCACUGUCACCAUUCCACCCGCAGGGGCUCCCUAGUCCCUCUUGCAGAGUAGGCAGGUCCUGUGCCCUUUAAGCCAAGCCACUCUGUUUUCCUGUAGUGAUGUUAAUAUUGGAAUUUGUAUUCUCAACCAACUAUAAAGGACUUAAUCCAAAUUGAAGCUUAGCACACAACCCUGACAGGGUUCUGUAUUGGAGUUCUAUUGGAUAUGUCCUUAGGACUUGCUUUGAUAAGCCACUAUCUUGUUUUAAAAUUCAGGGUAGACUGAUUAUUGACACUGAUGUUUGAACCCUAUUUGGUUCAGAAGACAGAUGAGUUGUUGCUGCUGCUAUUAACUUGUCAUCCAAAACCAAGCCGGCAAUUAAGGUUAAGAAAUGGACAUCCUGCACCACACAGGUGCACUCCCACCAGCAUGGAGCUAGAAAGCAUCAGGCUGCCCAGCACUGGGCAGGGACUCUCCUGCCAGGCUCAGCACAGAGCACAGAGCAGAGCACAGGCUUCUCAGAGGAAAAGAGCGCUCAAAGUGAAAGGUGGGAGAGAGUGAGUCGAGCAUUUCCAGUUCUUUUCCCCAAAAUCACCUUAGUAUUGCUCCUCUUCCACUGGGGAGGAAUAGAAGAGGGGCCAUAGAGAUACAGAGUAAGAGGUCUAAGAUGUCCUCCACAUGAAAGAGCCACUGGACCUAGUCAAGUAUCCACUAGGACACAGGGCCCCAGCAGGGGAAAAGGGAAGACACUACAGGCGAUAACUUCAACUAUAGUAGCUCCCCUAGCUCUUGAACAGAAUUUGUGUGACCCAGGCUCACUUUUACAUAACAAACUACCCCCAAAAUUUUAAGGCCUAAAAGAGCAACCAUCAUUUAUUAUGCCCACAAAUCUACUUGGUCAAGGCUCAGUAAUGACUCAUCUCUGUGCCUCGCAGUGCUGUUGGGACAGCAUACCUGGAGACUAGCAAAUCAGCUUGAGGAGUGUUCAUUCUGAUGGCUGGCUGUGGCUUGGGCCCCGCUUCCUCUCCACAGGCUGAUUUGGCUUCCUUACAACAUGGAGGUGGGGUUUCAAGAGUGGGCAUCCUGAAAGAGUAUGGCAGAAGUGUCUGGCAUUUUUAUAACCCAGAAGUCAUAUUGGUUCCUUCUGCCAUAUUCUAUCAAGGCCGUCAUAAAAGCCUGCCCAAGUUUUCAAAGAGGGAAUGGAGAGAGCACUCCUGGAUGGAGAAGGGACAAGGUCCUAGGAGAGUAUAUAGGAGGGGAGAUAUUAUAUCAUCUUUGGAAAGCAUGAUAUGCUACAACAUGUAACCUUCCUAUUGAGAAUUCAACUUCCUUAUGUGAGAUGAUGAGAUUAAACAGGAGGGAAACGGGAUAUUUUCCCAAGUCCACAGUUUCCAUAGGAGAUUAUAGAAGAUAGGGUCUUGCUACGUUGCUUAGGGCCUCACUAAUGUGCUGAGGCUGGUCUCAAACUUGCAAUCCUUCUGCCUCAGCCUCCAAGUCACUGUGAUUAUAGGCAUGCACUACUGCACCCAGCUAUAAUUUAUAGGAGAUUCAUUGUCAAAGAGACCUUGCCAGAAUAACUAGCAAAGUUCAAAACAAAAUGAGACAAAGUUCAGGAGAAAUAAAUAGUCUAUCUUUAGCUAGAGAACAAUAUACACUGAAAAUAUGUUGCCAUGAAAAUGUGCUAGAAGUAAAAGUUAAAACGAGGCUCCUUUCUGGUAGAGUUUCCUGCAGAAUAUGAAACAGAAUAAUGAGAGGCAGAACCAGAGGGGAUGGUUAAUGUGGCUGGCGAAAUCAAGUCAGUCUGAAUUCUGGCUCUGCAGGGAGCUCAGUUUCCUUAGCAUAAUGGACAUGCUGAAACCCACACCACAGAGCUAAUGUCAUCAUUAGACACCUGUUUAGGGGAAGCACUUAGAGACUUAGACCUGUGCCUGGCAUUUAGGAAGUAUUCCCUAAACAGCUGUGUUCAAGGAACAUGCGAAGUUUCUGCAACACCUACUAUGGCCCAGCACCAACAGUCCUAAUAAAUAGGGUAGAUACCUGCAUUAGUUUUCAGCUUAGUUGAAAUGCUAAAAAUUUACACAAGAUAAGCCACAGGAGGAAAAUUCAUGCAUGAGUACAUACUGGACAUUAUACAAUAACUGUGUCCGAUGUCCUUCAUAAAUCUAUCAUUUAUUGAUCAUUAGUGUGUACCCUGAGCUGCAGCAAUUCCAAAAGCAGCUUUGGUGAUUUGGAAUAUAAAACAUCACUAGAUGAAAUAACUAAUAAAUAAUACAAAAAGGAAUAUCAUUAAGCAUUAUAAUUAAGUGGCUCGGACCAACUUGGGGAAAGAAAAUCAGAAGUUUUCUUAGAACAGGAACUUAUGGCUUUCCAUUUCAUGGAACAGAGGUAUGUAAACGGGUAGGAAAAGAGGAAAAUGGAGAGAAAUUUCUCAAGGACAAGUCAGAGAAGGGGACACAGGAACUGGGGGGAAAGGAGAGAUCCAUUUGGGGAAUUAGAUUACAGGGUACCUGGCUAUUCACUUGAACCUUGGGAUUCAACAUAUCAUUCACCUCUUCCUGUACUUCACAGCAGAUUCCUUGUGUGAUUGGUUCAUCAUAUUGGAAACGAAAUUCUUUGCGGGGGCGGGGGGCGGGGGGCAGCACUGAUCAAACUAAUAUCACCCUGAAUAAUUACACUGUGCAUCAUGGGAGGACUUGGUAAACUAGUUGAUCCAUAUUUCUUUAUUUCCUAGUCUCCCGGUGAUGUGAGCAUUGUCAUUGCUUUGAUGAGGGAAACUGAGAAAGCUAUAUGUUUUUUUGCACCUCAGAGUCCCACUACCGGUAUGUGGAAGGUAGUGUCUCCAAAUUUAGUUUUAGGAUGUUGAUUCCAUGGGGAGGAAAGCAACAGGGAGCCCCCUGGUGAGUGGCAGGAGGCAAGUCCUGGGCAGGGUCAUCACAAGGUGGGUAACUGGGGGAGUGCAUGCAGAAUGCUUCAAAGCAGCACUCAGAGACUUAGUGAGGAAGUGGAUGAGGAGAAAGAAAAUUCAAUAACUGACUCCAAGGAUCUGCACCUAAAAGGCUGGAAAAAAGACAGCCUCCAUGAGAAAUGUGAGAGCCUGGAAGGAAAUGUGUGUCCAUGAGGCAAAUGAACAAUUCUACUUUAGAUAUGUGAAUUAGGAAAGGAAAAGGGAACUUACAUGGAGAUGUCAGGACAUUGGGGUGCAGAUAGGAAGGCAGCCUGGAAUAAGCUCCUCCUAGAGGGAGGACUGAGGAAGAGUCUUCCCAGACCAGCAGCAAAUGCUAAGGGAUAAAGCUCGUUGCACCUGUUGGACUUUGCUGUGUUUUGGAAGCCUCGAGCGCAGGGGUCCUACCUAUUUCCUAGUGGACCACAUGAUCUUCUUUCCAUCACAAAAGUUUCCUAAGAAUCUGAACAAUCGGUCUCAACCCUGCUUUAGUACACACACACAGGGCUCUGUAUCACCCCCCUACUCUAACACACCUGAAUUAUAUUGAUUUGCACAAACUGCAUCAGCACACUGAUGAUGUUAGCAUCCAAGAAGGAGCCCACCCAUGGCCCAUGAGCCAAAGGUCACAGUGUGAUGGAGGCUUCCUGUGGCACUUGGACUGGCGGCCUCAUCACACUUCCCUGUGACAGAACUACAGAGACUUCACCUCCUCCUCCUGAGAACAGGAAGCAGCCUGUGGGCACCCACGUUUCCUCCUCCAGAUGUGUAGGAAUUGGAAUGUUGUCACCAACCUGCCCCACCCACUCAAAAAAAAAAAAAAAAAGGAAACAGAAUUUGGGCAUGUGUUUUGAACCAGGGCCAAGCCUCAGGAAGUUCCAAAUACCUCCAUGAGAGUUUAACUUUUGGCCAGGUGCUAAAGGAUUUUGUUUGGGUAUUUAUUUCAUGGGGGUAGAUAAAAAAUGCAUUGAUCAGGGUUUUCUUUUUUUGACAGGUUCUGGCAUCCUUUCUCUGCACAGGGUAAAGGAUAGUUUGAAUACAGACAGAGGAGUGAGCACAGGACAGAUGAAUCCUCUCAUCCUUUAAAAAGAAAUGCUGAUCCAGGGCCCCAUUCUCCCUGCACUGGGAUAGGACCUGUCCCCAGCCUGGGUGGAUAAGGACUCCUUGUCCCCAGCUAAGCUUAGUUGGUCCCUUUGCAUGGUGACAGCGUUGACGUCAGUCCUCACGGUAGAGGAAUUAGUUGAAGCCCAAAGGGAAAAAAAAAAAAGGCCAAAAAAAGAAAAAUUCAAUCCAGCAAGGCUAAAGCCAUUUCUUUUUAGUUUGCAGGCUCUCAGCAGCUGUUAAGCUUUGCUGGAUUUUGAUAGUAAGAAAUUUUCUAAAAAUAGAAUAAUGAAAUGGACAGGGUGUCUGGUCAGUCCUCUGGCCUGGGCCCUGCCAUCACCACCACCUCAACCCCAGGGCCAGAAACUUCCACACUCAAUCUGCCACGGCAGAGUCCUUUCUGUGGCCUCCCCCUCCGAGGAUGGCAGAAUGCCAUCCCCCUGCACCUCUGCAAGCCCUGAGCAUGACUCCCACAGCUGCCGUUUCCUCUAAGGGGCUUCUUCAAAUGAGAGAAGGAAACCCUACCUGCUAAAACAAGAAUUAUCAUCUUAUUCCAGGACUUAGAAAUCACAUCUUCCUCUUUUAUCUGCGAGUGUCUUUCAUUCAGAAUUGCAAAGAGUGUGUGAAAAAAAAAAAAAGAAAGAAAGGAAAUUUUUUUUUUAGGUAGUCUGGAUGUUGUUGGACUUUGAGCAACUUGAGAAUGCCAAAGAUGAGCAAGUGCUGGUGGCCAGGAGGCCUGGGGAACUGACCUGGAGUCCCUAGCCUCUUUUCCUUUGUGUGCCCUUCUUUCCCCUAUCCAUUCUCUGAACUAUUACCAUUUUCCAAUUGAAAACAAAUGAUGCAGAGUGGAGGAAGUAAGGGGGCACAUUAGUGUGUGCCAGUACCCUCAUGGGACCACAGUCCCUUGCUAUCCCACAAAGCCAUGAAACUCUGGUCACUCAGACACCGAAACAACCAGAAGCAGCAGGGAGUGCUAAAUACAAAUGAAGAUUCCACUAAAUCAGAAUUUGCAAGAUUGCAUCCCAUCCUGGCAAUCUGUUUUUAACAAGCACCUUGAGUAAAUUAUCAGAUGGUUGAGAACCACUGCUUCAAGAUGUCACCAACCAGGUCUGCCCACCCUCAGCCCAGAGCCUCUCCCACCACACCUGUCACGUAAAGCUAGUUUCAUGCAGGUUCCUCUCUGUAGCAAUACCUAAUGUUUCUUUUAUCCUGGAACUUUGAUAAUGGAGUUCUUUUAAGAUGGGACAAAAUACUCUAGGGAGGAGGGGACCCACACUAUUAAAUGAACUUUCCAUGGCAUCCAGCGGUGUUCCAUGCCUACACGUCUGCACAGUACAGUAACUGCCAAGUGGACUGCAGCCUGAUUAGGUUAGCGCUCACUCUCCAUUCCUGCUUUCCAAGUAGCCCGAGUGAUUGACAUGCACCUGGUUCUACCACAGGCAUCCUACUUCUGUCACUGUCCUCACCUGCAUCCAAACUAGUCCACCUCAGCUCCUACAUGUCAGAGACUUAGCGCUCAUUGAUGAAAUUUUCCCUGCCUACAGUUUCACCACGUUUAGACUGCAAGCCACAGAUCUUCAUAAGCCAUAGUCCAGUGGCUCUGCCUAAUUCUAUUCUUUUUUGCCACUACCAGUGUCCAGAGAAAUGCUGGAGUUGUGAAACAUUUACUGUCCCUCACCCAGAAAAGCCUUCUCUCAGCACAGCAGGAUGUUGGGGGCGGAGAGUGUCCAAUAAAGACUUCUUUGACUUUGAACAGAAAGAGAACCCUCUUAGCAGGGUAUGGCUGUGUUAGUUUGCUAGGGCUGCCAUAACAAAGUACCACGAACUGAGUGACUUUCACAACAAAAAUUAGUUGACUCAGUUUUGGAGGUUCACAGUUCAAGAUCAAGAUGCACAUGGGGCCAUGCUCUCUCUGAAGGUGCUAUACGAGAUCUGUCCAGCACCCUCUCCCACUCCUGGUGGUUCCUUGGCAAUGACAGCAUAACUCCAUUCUUCAAAUGGCAUUCUCCCAGGGGGUGUGAGUAUCCAACUUCCCCUUCCUAUAAGGUACCAGACUUGUUGUGUCAGGGCCCAUUCUAAUAACCUCUUAUUAAUUUAAUCAACUGCAAAGUCCCUCUCUCCAAAUAAGUUCACAUUCAUAGGACACGGAGGUCAGGACAUCUUUUAGAGGGGCACAAUUCAACCAAUAACAAGGAUGACUCUGGUGUGUCCAUCCCUCCCCGUAUCACUUAGAAGAGCUCUGAUACCUAUUAGUGCUCCUCAUUCUCUGUCAGUACCAGAAUUUUCAAAGGUCCCUGUAGAGUUGGCCGUUUUCACCACUGUUGCUUACCCUAGAUGGGUUGCCCAGAAGCAUGUAGAGAGUGUCCUGCUGCCACAACUGACAAUACUUGUUCAAGCUGUCCAGCAAAAUCACUUUCCACUAAAGACAGGAAAUCAGACAAGACUCCUGGACUGGAUGGUGUCUGGUCUUGAUCUGGGAAGGAGGGCAGGGUAUGGGGAGAUAUCAAAAAGAGGUGAGACUAUGCCAAGUUUAAGUAGCUAGUUUUAGUGGGUAUAAUAAUGUAGCUAUUGUGAUUAGGGGGCCACAGGUAAACUGGUUUGACCAAGCAAAAAGGGAAGAAAUGGGCUAAGAUAUGUGGACAUGCUCUAAUGAGUCUUGGAGAGCCACCAGCCAGGAGAAUACCUGGAGGACAUCAUUUUUAGAUUAUUUUUUUCUAUUGAUUUGUGAGGAUUGGAAGUGAAGGAUAUGGAGGAAAGAUAAAGAUGUCAGUGGUUAAGCUGAGAAGUUUUAAGCAUGAAGACUGAGAAUGGUCCCCUUCUCUUGCCCCUCCACCUGGAGGUCAUCUAUUUGUCAUACCCAAGUCAAUUGUCACCUCUAAUAAGAAGCAUGUCAAAAUUACUUGCUGUUUAAAUUGGGUACCAUAGACCUUACCCUACAUUACCACCCUAACACUCUCCAUCUUACAUUCUGAUUCCUUCUGUUUCCCCUGGAGAGUGCUUUCAUUAUACUUUGUGGUCUUUAUGACCAGCAAUGACAAGACCAUGGGAGAUGCUCAAUAAACACCUACUGAAAUGAAACAGAAAGCCAGUUGCAUCACAGCGAUUCUAAAGUGAGCCAGUCAAAAAUGAGACACUUUUAAACUGGAAAGGGCUUUGAUGGUCACCUAACUCAGUUAUCCAGUAAACACUACAAAUUCUGGACAGAUGAUAAUCUCAUCUUAUUCUUUCUGGGGUCAGCCAUGGCUGUAAGAAUUGAAGAGCUGGAGAGAAACUUAAAAGACUACCCUAUCCAAAAGAUGAAGAAGUAAAGUGAUUAGCUUUUGGUUACUCAGCAAUUAGUAGCAAGACUAGAGAUAGAAAUUAAUAUGAUGGUCUAGGCUCAUCAGCUUCCUGUACUAUGAUAAAGUACCUGAGAUAAUCAACUUCAUAGGAGAAAAGAUUCAUUUCGACUCAUGAUUUCAGUGCAUGGUCAUUUGCCCCUGUUGCUCAGGGCUCGUGACACCCAGUAUAUUAUGGUGGGAGCAUGUGGUGGAAACCUAAUCACCUCAUGGUGGACUGAAAACAGGAAGGGACUGGGGUCCCCUUCAAGAGCCCAACCCUAAUGACCUAAUUUCUUCCCCCUAAGACCCACCUCUUAAAGGUUUUACCAACUCCCAAUAUCACUUAGGAAGGGGGCCAUCCCUUCCACACUUGGGCUUUCGGGAAACAUUUAGGAUCCGAAUGAUGACAUGCCCAGACUCAUUUGGUCCUCAAGAGGUUAAAUGGCUUGUUCAGGGUUGUACAGGGGAUAGGUGGUAGAGCUGGGGUACAAUUCAGAUUGAUCGUAUUCCGUUUCCUAUACACCACGCUAUCCCCACGUAUGACCCCCGACUUUCAGAAACACUGCAACGUGCCCUUCUUACUUCCUGGGCAAACCUUGCCAGAGGAUCUGCUGUGAAACCCUCCCUCCUUCUCACCCAUGUCCCUUGCUUUCCAG